Molecule: ribosomal RNA, 253 nt
Filed under: uncultured bacterium
Lineage: Bacteria
Description: partial 16S ribosomal RNA
Rfam family: Bacterial small subunit ribosomal RNA
Source: RNAcentral
UACGAAGGGGGCAAGCGUUGCUCGGAAUGACUGGGCGUAAAGGGCGCGUAGGCGGCUUACUUAGUUAGGCGUGAAAUUCCUGGGCUCAACCUGGGGACUGCGUCUAAUACAUGUAGGCUUGAGUGUGAAAGAGGGUCGUGGAAUUUCCAGUGUAGAGGUGAAAUGCAUAGAUAUUGGAAAGAACACCGGUGGCGAAGGCGGCGACCUGGUUCAUUACUGACGCUGAGGCGCGAAAGCGUGGGGAGCAAACAGG